CCUACGGGUGGCAGCAGUGGGGAAUAUUGGACAAUGGGCGAAAGCCUGAUCCAGCCAUGCCGCGUGUGUGAAGAAGGCCUUCGGGUUGUAAAGCACUUUCAGUGGGGAAGAAAGCCUUGGGGCUAAUACCCUCGAGGAAGGACAUCACCCACAGAAGAAGCACCGGCUAACUCCGUGCCAGCAGCCGCGGUAAUACGGAGGGUGCGAGCGUUAUUCGGAAUUACUGGGCGUAAAGCGCGCGUAGGCGGUCUGAUAAGCCGGUUGUGAAAGCCCCGGGCUCAACCUGGGAACGGCAUCCGGAACUGUCAGGCUAGAGUGCAGGAGAGGAAGGUAGAAUUCCCGGUGUAGCGGUGAAAUGCGUAGAGAUCGGGAGGAAUACCAGUGGCGAAGGCGGCCUUCUGGACUGACACUGACGCUGAGGUGCGAAAGCGUGGGUAGCAAACAGGAUUAGAUACCCCAGUAGUC
RNAcentral lists this ribosomal RNA (465 nucleotides) under Vreelandella stevensii. Its description in RNAcentral is "partial 16S ribosomal RNA". It matches the Rfam family "Bacterial small subunit ribosomal RNA", at positions 338 to 795 of the family's 1533-position model. The record is from RNAcentral. Lineage: Bacteria; Pseudomonadati; Pseudomonadota; Gammaproteobacteria; Oceanospirillales; Halomonadaceae.